UUUCCGUAGGUGAACCUGCGGAAGGAUCAUUAUUGAAUACGUUUGGUUCUGAUGCUGGCUCUUCACUGAGCAUGUGCUCGAUCCAUAACUAUUUAUCUUCUCUUGUGCACCUUAUGUAGUCUUUCAGAGCAAGUGAUAACUCUCGCAGCAAUGCGGUUUGGGGGACUUGGGCGUGAGCCCUUCCCCUGCGUUUGCUUCUCUGGAGGGCUAUGUUUUCAUAUACACUAUAAAGUUACAGAAUGUCUUUUAAAGAUUGUGCUAGUCGCAGUCAUUAAACCUAUACAACUUUCAGCAACGGAUCUCUUGGCUCUC
This 312-nucleotide unclassified non-coding RNA is filed under the name plant metagenome. Its description in RNAcentral is "partial contains small subunit ribosomal RNA, internal transcribed spacer 1, and 5.8S ribosomal RNA". The record is from RNAcentral.